AGACCCUAUCGAGCUUUACUGGAUACCAAUAGCGUUAAUUUAGAAUGAUCGAUACUAAGUAUUCUAGUUUUAAGUUAAUAAUUCUUGUUGGCAGGACAGUUUAGUUGGGGCGACUACCUUUGAAUAAGAAACGAAGGCGAGCUUAUGGUAUUAUUUAAAAUCUCAUUAGCCUGACAGUGAGGGGGACACCCCUAGCUGGCACAAGGACUUACCCAUAUUGUAUAUAAUAUAUAUAUGUAAUGGGUUCCUAUGUGGGCGAUAAUGACCCGAUAGAAUUAUCCUAAUUAAAUAUCGAAAGCGGAUAAAAGCUACCGCAGGGAUAACAGCGUAAUAUUGUCGGAGAGUUCUUAUCG
RNAcentral lists this ribosomal RNA (353 nucleotides) under Paragorgia arborea (bubblegum coral). RNAcentral's name for it is "partial 16S ribosomal RNA". It matches the Rfam family "Bacterial large subunit ribosomal RNA", at positions 2086 to 2507 of the family's 2925-position model. Lineage: Eukaryota; Metazoa; Cnidaria; Anthozoa; Scleralcyonacea; Coralliidae. The record is from RNAcentral.